Bemisia tabaci is the source of this 4883-nucleotide non-coding RNA. The record is from RefSeq and is a predicted model, not a curated record. Lineage: Eukaryota; Metazoa; Arthropoda; Insecta; Hemiptera; Aleyrodidae.
CAUCAAAUAAAUGUAACAAAAAUUUUAACAAACAAAUAAAAAACAGUAAAUGAAGAACUAAGACUUAAGACUUAGGGGACUACAUUCAGGCAAUUUAGGGAUUGGGGAGAUUUGCGUCGAGAUAUUCUUUUAACUCGUAAAAAGGGUUUUCUAUGAAGUAAUUUUUUAUGUUAUUUAGGAAUAGAUUUGAAUUUUCUGAUUUAAUGAAAAGUUCUUUUAAUGGCUUGGGAAGCUUGUUAAAAUAUCUGAUACCUCUGCUUUCUAAGCUAUCCCAGUCUACUUUUUCCCCCCGUUUUUUUUCAAUUUUUGCUAGGAUAUUUCUGGUUUGUAUUUGAUUAUAGUAAUUAAUUUUUCUUUGAUGAUGUAGCCUAAUUUAAUUGAUUCCUUUAUUGUUGAAUAUAUAUACCUACCUAAAGGCAUUCCAUGGGAAGGUCUUAGGAAAAAAAAUCCCGUCGGUUCCCGGUGUCUGCCAACACCUUCCCAGUGUUUGUCGGGCUGUGCUGGACUCCGCCAGCCCACUGGCAUUCAAUGGGAAGGUCUGGGGGGAAAAAUUUCGUCGGUCCCCGGCGGCUGCCAAUUACACCUUCCCGGUGGUUGUUGGACUGUGCUGGACUCCGCCAGCCCACUGGGUGGAUUUCUGUAGAUUUUCAUUUUGGGAAUUUUUUUUCCUUCAAAAAAAAUUUUACAGUAGGUAAUCCACAAAGCAUUUUUUAGAAGUAGUAUACUAUGUAGAAUCAUAUUUAAGUGGAGGGGUCAACUUCUGUAGGGCCAAUUUUUUUUUUUUUGCUAGUAAGUGAACGGAAAAAGUCUACUUUGUCAACUCCAGCCAGUCUCAUUUCACAUCCUGUAUUUAGUACUUGCAAGGCCUCUUUCCUUCAACUUAAGGUUUUUCAUUGCUUUUUCAAGUAAGAGAAGUCAAGUGAAUAAAAAAAUGAUGAGUAUAAUACUUUAAAAUGAUUUACAAAUGGUCAUUUUUGGAAUUUUAGUACGGAAAAGGUUUAAUAUUCUGAAAAACACACUUUUAUUUUAAUCCUCCUAAGAAAAAAAACCAAUCGAAGAUACUGAAAAUGCAUUAAAACUCUCAAUGAUACCCUUAAUUAAACUAAUCUUCUCAUAAAACCGAUUUGAUUCUUAAAAAAAUAGUCUUUACAGUCGUUUUUUCACCGAUGGCCGGAGUUGACAGGUAGUACGGAGUUGUCAUAGAUGAAAUUACAAAACGAAGUUAUUUGAAAAAAUAACGAAUAUUUAACUAAAUACUAAAAUCUAAUGAACUGGAACAAACAAUUGAACAAAAAUAUUACACGAAUGUCAAAUAAAGCUCAGUUUUACAACGUUAAACGUCAUUGGGCCGGAGUCGACAAGGUCGGAGUUGACAUAGACGAAAUUACAAAACAAAGUUAUUUGAAAAAAUAACGAAUGUUUAACUAAAGACUGAAAUCUAAUGAACUGGAACAAACAAUUGAAAAAAAAUAUUACACGAAUGUCAAAUAAAGCUCAGUUUUACAACGUUAAACGCCAUUGGGCCGGAAUCGAUAAGGUCGGAGUUGACAGAAAUGAAAUUACAAAAUAAAGUUAUUUGAAAAAAUAACAAAUAUUUUACUAAAGACUGAACUCUAAUGAACUGGGACAAGCAAUUGAACAAAAAUAUUACACGAAUGUCAAAUAAGAGCUAUGUUUUACAAUGUUAAACGUCAUUGGGCCGGAGUUGACAUAGGUGAAAUUAUAAGACAAAGUUUUUUGAAAAAAUAACGAAUAUUUAACUAUAAAGACUGAAAUCUAAUGAACUGGAACAAACUAUUGAACAAAAAUAUUACACGAAUGUCGAAUAAAGUUCAGCUUAAUAACGUUAAACGUCAUUGGGCCGGAGUUGACAAGGUCGGAGUUGACGCGGCCGGAGUUGACAUUUGAGUGUUUUUCGCGGGAAAGAAAGUGUCCACGAUGCAGAGAAGAAACAAAACCGAUUGUUUUGAGGUUCGAUCGUGCAGGUACAUCAUAUACUGAAUUAUAUCACUGGCGCCACUUCCCCAGUAUGAAAUUUUAACAUAAAUGGAGUUGACAGUUUCAAAUUACCAUUUUUAGAAAUCCAAAUAUUUGAUGCAGAAAAGGUUUACUUAUGUUUAUCAAAGCAGUGUUUCCGAUAGCCCGGGACCUCCAACUCUUGAAAAAACACAAUCACGAUGGCUACCCUGCGCUCGCACUAUCAGCUAUUUGCUCCGGAAUGCGCGAAAAUAGUUCCGCCGGAGUUGACACCAAAGCUAGCGACACAACUUUCUAUGUAUGGUGCGAGUUCCCCUGACUUUUAAAUAGUUUUCUAACAAUUUUUCAGUAGACCCCAUCUAUUCAACAAUUUAAAUAAAGCAUCAAAAUUGUGCAGGACUCCGCCAAAAAGUCAGCAGAACAGUUCUUGUGUUCGAAUUUAGCCUGGCGACAUUAGCCGGAGUUGACAUUUGCACUGUUAAAAAAAUUCCCGAAAGUAUGCUUCGGCAUUUAAAGUAGAUUUAACAAUUUUUUAAGAUUGCCAAGACUUACCGAAGUGUAAAAAAAAAUAAGUUAGACAUAUUCCGUAGAUUACCGCCUCGAAAUCAUCCGGCGACAGCAAAAUGAAAAUCUACAGAAAUCCACCCCACUGGCAUUCCAUGGGAAGGUCUGGGGAAAAGAAUCCCGUCGGUGCCCGGUAUCUGCCAACACCUUCCCGGUGCUUGUCGGACUGUCCUGAACUCCGCCAGCCCACUGGCAUUCUAUGGGACGGUCUGGGGAAAGUUUCCCACCGGAAACGCGUUCUCUGCUUGGACUGACUCCAAUGAUAGACCUUACCGUCACUAUUUUCAAGGCUCAACCACGCGACUCGUGGUAAGACUGUGAUACUGUGUGCUGUGGGAUAAAAGUGAGCCACUUUGCAAAAAUUGUGCUGCCAUAAUCAGUAACUGCUUUCACCAUGUUCUUGACGGUUGUCUUAUUACUCUGCGCCGCUGGAACCUGGGCGCGGCUGGACCCGCCUGACCAUUAUGAGAGAAUGUAUGACUGGUUGAAUUCAAAACUAUUCUCGACUCAUCUUUUCUGAGAUGCAACCUGACGCGUUUCUAUCAAACUUGGCUGACAUACGAGUUAAAUUGGCCCUGUUUUACUUUCUGGCCUGAAUCAGUCAAGGUAAAGUUGGUGAGUUUUCUUAUGUCAGUAAUGCCACCUUUUCAACUAACUGCAGGCUGAUUCUUGAAAUUCAUAGAGGAAGCAAGAGACAAAGGAGACAAAGAAGUAAACCUAUUGAUGGAAGUGGGUGGUUGCAAUGGACAAAGGAAGUACCUAGGUAGUAGACCAACUAAUCCUGACUCACAUGAAAUCCAGUAGUUAGUCCAUACUUUUCCCCCUACCAUUACUCUAGGACAACCACCUGUUUUAACCGAUAGGAUCACUCCAUUUUCUCUUUGUCUUUCAAUUUCAAUGAUCAGCCUGCUGUUAACAGGGUCAAAGAUCAAGCACAGCUACUUACUAUUUCCUCCUCAGAAUUAAAUGUACAAUGCGAUAAACACAUUAAAAAUUCCAAUUUCAACUUAUAAGGGAGAUUUAAGUUUUUUCCUUGUCAGUCAAUUCAAACUUUCCAUGAGUCAGAUCCAUCUAUUUUGACAAUUUAAUGCCUAAAUAAGGAUAAAUAGGUUCAUGAAACCUUACUUUAAUUGAUGGUCUAAUGAUAAGUUUGCUUUUAAUGAGCAGGUUGACUUAUGUUGAUUUUGUUUCUAUCCGCGAGCAAGAGGAUUGAAUUCUCUGACUAUACUGUGAACAAUAAGUGCUAAUCUCUCUUCCAUGUGUUGAACUUGCAUGUGUUGGGUAUGUUCAACAUGUUCGGAACAAAAUUUUAAUUAAAAAACAUGCCCUAAGGUGCUUCAAAUUUUACCCUCUCAUAUGAUCUCUUUGCUUGACUGAUCUUAGAAAAAACGUGUACCUACUUGUUAUUUACACAUUCCCCACUAGCAAUUCACCAAUCUGUUGUUUUUGUUGAAAAACCGACCAAAAUUUCUGUGGCCCACUGCUAGAUGUACCAUGUUGGUAAUUAAAAGAAAAGUCGCAAGCUUUGUCCAACAAUAUUUUAAAAACAAACAAAAGCAACGUACCUAUUCCCAUAAAAAACCAAUUUUUUUUUUUUUAUUUGCAUUUUAAUUUUUUGUUCAUGUCAUUGUUUAUUGUUGUUAUUUCAAAUGCUUUGGGUUCUGCCUAAUGAUGCAAAAUUUCUGCAAUUCCUCUUGAAAAACAGGAGAUCAACUUGCCAAAGUGAGAUUUUCUGUAUUGAUAACUAAUUAGCGAGCGAAGAAAUUUUCUGGGCAUAUUCUAUAAACCAAAUGGAGUCAAAAAACCUCACUAUUGGUUAAAAAAAAGGCUCCCAGCUACACCAGUCUUCUGCUGGUGUUCUCCCUAAAUUUAUUUAUUCGGUUUCAAUGUCACUGACAUUUCUGUACUUAAAGAAAAUAAAACUUUCAGAUAUGGGAAUGCUGUUCAUACCUGUCUUGAAAAGAAUGAAAAGCGUUCUAUGAGGACCCGAUGUGAAAGAUGUUAGCUGCACAUGAGAAGCGGUUAUUCAACUUCACUUUGAAGCGUUAAAAACAGCCGAGAUGGACUUGGGCGCUAUUUGCUAAUUUGCACAAUAUUAUUCACUGCUUAUUUAUCUCUCCGAUUCGAAAUCAGGGAAAAACUGACAAUCAUCUCUAUUUUAAUGCUUCCUUUGCAAAAAAGUGUAAAUUUGUCUCCACAUUCCACCUGCAAAUGCAAUCUCCUAAUACAUCGUUCAGUAUAUGUAUUGAAACAUUUCGUAAAAUACUAAUUUUUAAGUCUUCAAUUAUAAAUUAUUCAAACUAAUUGGAGCCUCUUCAUUUACUUACCUAUUUCUCAGCAAC